UAAGCGGAGGAAAAGAAACCAACAGGGAUUGCCCCCAGUAACUGCGAGUGAAGCGGCAACAGCCCAGAUUUGAAAUCCGACUCUUUUACCAGAGUUUGAGUUGUAAUCUGUAGAGGAUGUCGCUGACGGAAAGAUGCUUCUAAGUCCCCUGGAACGGGGUGCCAUAGAGGGUGAGAGCCCCGUACGGAGCUGUCUGAACGGUCAAGAUGCGGCUCCUUCGACGAGUCGAGUAGUUUGGGAAUGCUGCUCUAAACGGGGAGGUAAAUUCCUUCCAAGGCUAAAUAUCGGCCGGAGACCGAUAGCGCACAAGUAGAGUGAUCGAAAGAUGAAAAGUACUUUGAAAAGAGGGUUAAACAGUACGUGAAAUUGUUGAAAGGGAAGCGCCCGCGACUAGACUUGUACCUGACUGAUCGCUCUACGUUCGUCGUAGAGUCUCCCAGUCAUGGUUUGCAGGCCAGCAUCGGUUUGCGCUGGGGGACAAGCACAGUGGGAACGUAGCUCAUCUCAUGGUGAGUGUUAUAGCCUGUUAUAUAGUACCCUGGCGUGGAUCGAGGAACGCGUCUUUGACACGGAUGCUGGCAUAAUGGUCGUUGACGACCCGUCUUGAACCACGGACCCA
RNAcentral lists this ribosomal RNA (619 nucleotides) under Meliola variaseta. Its description in RNAcentral is "eukaryotic LSU rRNA". It matches the Rfam family "Eukaryotic large subunit ribosomal RNA", at positions 47 to 669 of the family's 3401-position model. Lineage: Eukaryota; Fungi; Ascomycota; Sordariomycetes; Meliolales; Meliolaceae. The record is from RNAcentral.